This 74-nucleotide transfer RNA is filed under the name Candidatus Sysuimicrobiota bacterium CSP1-3. RNAcentral describes it as "Armatimonadetes bacterium CSP1-3 tRNA-Pro". It matches the Rfam family "tRNA". Rfam says of the family: Transfer RNA (tRNA) molecules are approximately 80 nucleotides in length. Their secondary structure includes four short double-helical elements and three loops (D, anti-codon, and T loops). Further hydrogen bonds mediate the characteristic L-shaped molecular structure. tRNAs have two regions of fundamental functional importance: the anti-codon, which is responsible for specific mRNA codon recognition, and the 3' end, to which the tRNAs corresponding amino acid is attached (by aminoacyl-tRNA synthetases). tRNAs cope with the degeneracy of the genetic code in two manners: having more than one tRNA (with a specific anti-codon) for a particular amino acid; and 'wobble' base-pairing, i.e. permitting non-standard base-pairing at the 3rd anti-codon position. Lineage: Bacteria; Bacillati; Candidatus Sysuimicrobiota. The record is from RNAcentral.
CGGGGUGUGGCGCAGCCUGGUAGCGCGCCUGGUUUGGGACCAGGAGGCCGGCGGUUCAAAUCCGCCCGCCCCGA